RNAcentral lists this ribosomal RNA (494 nucleotides) under uncultured bacterium. RNAcentral's name for it is "partial 16S ribosomal RNA". It matches the Rfam family "Bacterial small subunit ribosomal RNA", at positions 28 to 507 of the family's 1533-position model. The record is from RNAcentral.
GACGAACGCUGGCGGCGUGCCUAAUACAUGCAAGUCGAGCGGACUUAAAAAGCUUGCUUUUUAAGUUAGCGGCGGACGGGUGAGUAACACGUGGGCAACCUGCCUGUAAGACUGGGAUAACUUCGGGAAACCGGAGCUAAUACCGGAUAAUCCUUUUCUACUCAUGUAGAAAAGCUGAAAGACGGUUUACGCUGUCACUUACAGAUGGGCCCGCGGCGCAUUAGCUAGUUGGUGAGGUAACGGCUCACCAAGGCGACGAUGCGUAGCCGACCUGAGAGGGUGAUCGGCCACACUGGAACUGAGACACGGCCCAGACUCCUACGGGAGGCAGCAGUAGGGAAUCUUCCGCAAUGGACGAAAGUCUGACGGAGCAACGCCGCGUGAGUGAUGAAGGUUUUCGGAUCGUAAAACUCUGUUGUUAGGGAAGAACAAGUACGAGAGUAACUGCUCGUACCUUGACGGUACCUAACCAGAAAGCCACGGCUAACUACGUG